AAAGGCGUAAUGAAAGUGAAGGUUCGCCUAGCGCGAACCGAGGGAGGAUGGACGGUCUAUAGCGGCCGUCCCGCACUCCCUGGGCGUCUCGUUCUCAUCGCGAGAAGAGGCGCACCAAGAGCGUACACGCUGGGACCCGAAAGAUGGUGAACUAUGCCUGGUCAGGACGAAGUCAGGGGAAACCCUGAUGGAGGUCCGUAGCGAUUCUGACGUGCAAAUCGAUCGUCGGAACUGGGUAUAGGGGCGAAAGACUAAUCGAACCAUCUAGUAGCUGGUUCCCUCCGAAGUUUCCCUCAGGAUAGCUGGCGCUCGCUUCUCGCGAGUCUCAUUCGGUAAAGCGAAUGAUUAGAGGCAUUGGGGUCGAAACGGCCUCAACCUAUUCUCAAACUUUAAAUGGGUGAGAUCUCCGGCUUGCUUGAACUGUGAAGCCGCGAGAUAUCGGAUCAGAGUGCCAAGUGGGCCACUUUUGGUAAGCAGAACUGGCGCUGUGGGAUGAACCAAACGCCGAGUUAAAGCGCCUAAAUCGACGCUUAUGGGA
RNAcentral lists this ribosomal RNA (538 nucleotides) under Anomala mongolica. Its description in RNAcentral is "eukaryotic LSU rRNA". It matches the Rfam family "Eukaryotic large subunit ribosomal RNA", at positions 710 to 1209 of the family's 3401-position model. Lineage: Eukaryota; Metazoa; Arthropoda; Insecta; Coleoptera; Scarabaeidae. The record is from RNAcentral.